Molecule: long non-coding RNA, 230 nt
Filed under: Elaeis guineensis (African oil palm)
Lineage: Eukaryota; Viridiplantae; Streptophyta; Magnoliopsida; Arecales; Arecaceae
Description: long non-coding RNA (EGUI_LNC019511)
Source: RNAcentral
UUCCAAUACUUCAAUACAUCCAUCUCUUUCUCUCCGGAGCUGAUGGAUAGAGUGCUUCUUGCUCUUGAUCCGUGACACAAAGAAUAUGAUAUUUUGGCAAGCCAACUCAAGUUUGGCUCUGGAGAACUGUAGGUCGGCCGUCAUUUGGGAGAUCUUCUCUAGUAGUUUUUUCUCACGUUCAGUUGCUGCCUGGAGUUGUUCGACGGUAGUAUUCUUUUCGAUGGUGACGG